GCCUGAUGCAGCCAUGCCGCGUGUGUGAAGAAGGCCUUCGGGUUGUAAAGCACUUUCAGUCGUGAGGAAGGUGGUAGUGUUAAUAGCACUAUCAUUUGACGUUAGCGACAGAAGAAGCACCGGCUAACUCCGUGCCAGCAGCCGCGGUAAUACGGAGGGUGCGAGCGUUAAUCGGAAUUACUGGGCGUAAAGCGCAUGCAGGUGGUUUGUUAAGUCAGAUGUGAAAGCCCGGGGCUCAACCUCGGAAUAGCAUUUGAAACUGGCAGACUAGAGUACUGUAGAGGGGGGUAGAAUUUCAGGUGUAGCGGUGAAAUGCGUAGAGAUCUGAAGGAAUACCGGUGGCGAAGGCGGCCCCCUGGACAGAUACUGACACUCAGAUGCGAAAGCGUGGGGAGCAAACAGGAUUAGAUACCCUGGUAGUCCACGCCGUAAACGAUGUCUACUUGGAGGUUGUGGCCUUGAGCCGUGGCUUUCGGAGCUAACGCGUUAAGUAGACCGCCUGGGGAGUACGGUCGCAAGAUUAAAACUCAAAUGAAUUGACGGGGGCCCGCACAAGCGGUGGAGCAUGUGGUUUAAUUCGAUGCAACGCGAAGAACCUUACCUACUCUUGACAUCCAGAGAACUUUCCAGAGAUGGAUUGGUGCCUUCGGGAACUCUGAGACAGGUGCUGCAUGGCUGUCGUCAGCUCGUGUUGUGAAAUGUUGGGUUAAGUCCCGCAACGAGCGCAACCCUUAUCCUUGUUUGCCAGCGAGUAAUGUCGGGAACUCCAGGGAGACUGCCGGUGAUAAACCGGAGGAAGGUGGGGACGACGUCAAGUCAUCAUGGCCCUUACGAGUAGGGCUACACACGUGCUACAAUGGCGCAUACAGAGGGCAGCAAGCUAGCGAUAGUGAGCGAAUCCCAAAAAGUGCGUCGUAGUCCGGAUUGGAGUCUGCAACUCGACUCCAUGAAGUCGGAAUCGCUAGUAAUCGUGGAUCAGAAUGCCACGGUGAAUACGUUCCCGGGCCUUGUACACACCGCCCGUCACACCAUGGGGAGUGGGCUGCAAAAGAAGUAGGUAGUUUAACCUUCGGGAGGACGCUUACCACUUUGGGUUCAUGACUGGGGUGAAUCGUAACCAAGGGAACCAA
This 1130-nucleotide ribosomal RNA is filed under the name Vibrio sp. 8415M. RNAcentral's name for it is "bacterial SSU rRNA". It matches the Rfam family "Bacterial small subunit ribosomal RNA", at positions 381 to 1503 of the family's 1533-position model. Lineage: Bacteria; Pseudomonadati; Pseudomonadota; Gammaproteobacteria; Vibrionales; Vibrionaceae. The record is from RNAcentral.